This is a long non-coding RNA of Gavialis gangeticus (Gharial), 679 nucleotides long. RefSeq lists it as uncharacterized. The record is from RefSeq and is a predicted model, not a curated record. The transcript is spliced from 3 exons. Lineage: Eukaryota; Metazoa; Chordata; Crocodylia; Gavialidae.
CUGAUCUCCACUUAAGACCCCAUAUCCUGCUCCAUUUAAACAACAUGCCUUAUGUCCUUCCUGGAGUGGAUUUCUAACAACAUAGUAGUUGGGCCAUAUUUGUAUACGCAGGUUCCCUGCUUAGGCUAUUAAAGCUCAGGGAAACUGAAAAGAGCAUGCUGAAAAAAAGGCACGAUAUUUCCGUCAGACACGGGAACUACCAAACUGGAUCAGAUCUAAGGUGCAUUCACUCCAGCAGCUAGUCUCCAGCUAUGGCUGAUGCCUUGGAAGAAGGCAUUUGACAUCCUGAGCAGUUCACAGAAGAGACAGGGAUGCAUUCCAACAUCAGGCUUCCUUGACCCUAGAAAGUCCCAGCUAAUGAAUACAGAUAUGCCAAUCAAUUAUUGCUAGACUCCGAGCCUGGCUAAUCGAAGAGCGAAACAGCAGCAGUAGCAGAGAAAAAAUGCUGGCACAUUGUCCUUCGGAUUAAAAAACCUAAUGAGUCCUAACAGUCUGGGAACUGGAGCACUGUAGUUACUUGGAGAUACAUGGAAAGUUUGGGAAGGGAGCAGAGGUAUCAUUUACACCAGAAUUAUUAUUUUUCUAGUCAUUUUUCAGUGUCAGGUCUGUUAGCACAGGAACAGCCCAGAGUGACUUGAGCCUGAAGAAGGGUGUUUGUGCCCAAAAGCUUCCAAAGAAC